This 253-nucleotide ribosomal RNA is filed under the name uncultured bacterium. Its description in RNAcentral is "partial 16S ribosomal RNA". It matches the Rfam family "Bacterial small subunit ribosomal RNA", at positions 524 to 776 of the family's 1533-position model. The record is from RNAcentral.
UCCGUAGGGGGCAAGCGUUGUCCGGAAUUACUGGGCGUAAAGCGCGUGUAGGCGGGCCGGCAAGUCUGGCGUGAAAGGCUCGGGCUCAACCCGAGAUGGCCGCUGGAAACUGCCGUUCUUGAGGGUCGAAGAGGAGAGUGGAAUUCCUGGUGUAGCGGUGAAAUGCGUAGAGAUCAGGAGGAACACCCAUGGCGAAGGCAGCUCUCUGGUCGACCUCUGACGCUGAGACGCGAAAGCGUGGGGAGCGAACGGG